RNAcentral lists this ribosomal RNA (490 nucleotides) under uncultured bacterium. RNAcentral's name for it is "partial 16S ribosomal RNA". It matches the Rfam family "Bacterial small subunit ribosomal RNA", at positions 30 to 507 of the family's 1533-position model. The record is from RNAcentral.
AUUGAACGCUGGCGGCAGGCCUAACACAUGCAAGUCGAACGGUAACAGGAAGAAGCUUGCUUCUUUGCUGACGAGUGGCGGACGGGUGAGUAAUGUCUGGGAAACUGCCUGAUGGAGGGGGAUAACUACUGGAAACGGUAGCUAAUACCGCAUAAUGUCGCAAGACCAAAGAGGGGGACCUUCGGGCCUCUUGCCAUCGGAUGUGCCCAGAUGGGAUUAGCUAGUAGGUGGGGUAACGACUCACCUAGGCGACGAUCCCUAGCUGGUCUGAGAGGAUGACCAGCCACACUGGAACUGAGACACGGUCCAGACUCCUACGGGAGGCAGCAGUGGGGAAUAUUGCACAAUGGGCGCAAGCCUGAUGCAGCUAUGCCGCGUGUAUGAAGAAGGCCUUCGGGUUGUAAAGUACUUUCAGCGGGGAGGAAGGGAGUAAAGUUAAUACCUUUGCUCAUUGACGUUACCCGCAGAAGAAGCACCGGCUAACUCCGUG